AAACUCCGCAAUGCUCGCAAGAGCGACGGGGGGACCCCAAGUGCCCCUGCACUGCAGGGGCUUUUGCGGAGUGUAAACAGCUCCGCGAAUAAGGGCUGGGCAAGACCGGUGCCAGCCGCCGCGGUAACACCGGCAGCCCGAGUGGUGGCCACUAUUAUUGGGCCUAAAGCGUCCGUAGCCGGUCCGGUAAGUCCCUGUGGAAAUCCUCAGGCUCAACCUGAGGAAAUGCGGGGAUACUGCCGGACUCGGGGCCGGGAGACGCGGAGGGUACUCCAGGGGUAGCGGUGAAAUGCUGUAAUCCCUGGGGGACCACCAGUGGCGAAGGCGCUCCGCGAGAA
RNAcentral lists this ribosomal RNA (338 nucleotides) under uncultured archaeon. RNAcentral's name for it is "bacterial SSU rRNA". It matches the Rfam family "Archaeal small subunit ribosomal RNA", at positions 345 to 685 of the family's 1478-position model. The record is from RNAcentral.